RNAcentral lists this ribosomal RNA (301 nucleotides) under uncultured bacterium. Its description in RNAcentral is "partial 16S ribosomal RNA". It matches the Rfam family "Bacterial small subunit ribosomal RNA", at positions 509 to 808 of the family's 1533-position model. The record is from RNAcentral.
CAGUCGCCGCGGUAAUACGAAGGGGGCUAGCGUUGCUCGGAAUGACUGGGCGUAAAGGGCGCGUAGGCGGCUAUGACAGUCAGGCGUGAAAGUCCUGGGCUCAACCUGGGGUGGUCGCUUGAUACGUUGUGGCUAGAGUGGGGAAGAGGGUCGUGGAAUCCCAGUGUAGAGGUGAAAUUCGUAGAUAUUGGGAAGAACACCGGUGGCGAAAGCGGCGACCUGGUCCUUUACUGACGCUGAGGCGCGAAAGCGUGGGGAGCAAACAGGAUUAGAUACCCCCGUAGUCCCUGUCUCUUAUACA